UAGGUGGCAAGCGUUGUCCGGAUUUACUGGGUGUAAAGGGCGCGUAGGCGGGACAACAAGUCAGAUGUGAAAUCUGGGGGCUUAACCCCCAAACUGCAUUUGAAACUGUAGUUCUUGAGUAUCGGAGAGGCAGGCGGAAUUCCUAGUGUAGCGGUAAAAUGCGUAGAUAUUAGGAGGAACACCAGUGGCGAAGGCGGCCUGCUGGACGACAACUGACGCUGAGGCGCGAAAGCGUGGGGAGCAAA
This 245-nucleotide ribosomal RNA is filed under the name uncultured bacterium. RNAcentral's name for it is "partial 16S ribosomal RNA". It matches the Rfam family "Bacterial small subunit ribosomal RNA", at positions 528 to 772 of the family's 1533-position model. The record is from RNAcentral.